Molecule: microRNA, 21 nt
Filed under: Salicornia europaea (common glasswort)
Lineage: Eukaryota; Viridiplantae; Streptophyta; Magnoliopsida; Caryophyllales; Amaranthaceae
Description: seu-miR11041
Source: miRBase by way of RNAcentral
UAAGCAUUUAGAACAUUCAUA